AUUGAAAAACUAAUUUUGAGCACGAUGUUUAUUUGUUUAUUCCAAUAUGAUCGUUAGUUUCAGCGGUCCCGGAAAUGAACCAAAACUAGCAAUCAAGAAAAAAAACAAAUACAUUCGGAGCUAUUCAGAGCUACACUACGAGUAAACUUGCAAGAUAAUACAUGUAAGUUAAGGACAAAGAACAAAAGCACUGUCGCCAUGUGUCUGUUUAUCUUAGGACCGUGUCAACAUUUCCAUCCCGUUCUUUCAUCCGUACUACACUGUCAUUCAAGCAAUAAGCUGUUCAGGUUGUUUGAACAAUUGUUUCUCUUUAUUUAAAACAAACUCGAAUACAUCCAUAUUUGUUUAUAAAAUAGGGCGACAAGUUACGACACUACUGCCUUAAGAAGCCCCGUGUAGGAAGCCACCUAUUUUGCCGACGGUUUGUGUCAUUUCGAGCUUAACGGUGGUGUUUAAACCAAAUCCAACACACCACAGCAAAAUUUAUUAUCACAAAGUAGUAGGUUGGCUUCCACCACAAGUUAGAAACUCAUUAACAGUUUUCCUGAAAACAGCUGGGCUGACCCACUAAUUAGCAUGCCCUGUACACCUGGGGUGACAUUUGAGAGACGGCUAACUUCUGUAAUUAAACGCUCCCAGUACAAUUACACUGUUUAAAUUGUAAGCUACUUGUAGUAUACGAUAUGCAGGCCCUGAACCUCUUAAAAGCUAAACGGCUGCAAACCAAUACUAAUAAAAGUACCCUUACUACAAACUGUUCAAAUAUGCAGGCUUGUCUUUUUAUAUAUAGCCUAUAUAUAGUGCUGGCACAAGGUCAACUUGACGAAGGAUUCGUAAACUAACCUACAUUUCAAACCACAAUUUUAAACCCCAAUAGGCUACUGUUAAGUAUUAAUAUUAACUAAUUGCACCAAAGUUAAAAUAGUCGAACAUGAAUGUCUCACCUUCUCAACGUCUGCUUUUGCCAAGCCACCGUCAGCUGUUCCUUCUGUUUUCUGGCAAGAGCUUUUACACUGGUGUUUCUCGUUCACAGCAAUUCAAUUUAUUUUGCGAAAUAUUGCAUAACAGGUUCCAGCAGGCUUGUCCGGGGUGUCAUCAUUAAACAAUUUCACUAUUUUUGUCAAUUUUACGACACACUGGACUGGUAUAAAGACAGACUGAAACAAUGCGUGACUAUUCGUGUUCGGAGACGCCGAAAAGCAGCCGUUAAAGGCCGCCAAACGCACGCGCCACGCUUGUUAGAAGUUUAAAUGGUAUGUAGCCAUGCAGCUGUUGAUAUCCACGAGACAAACGAGGAAAGCACCCUUAAUAGAAUUGUGAAAUGCGAACUUACAUUGGCGAACACGUUUCAAGGAUGGAAAAUGUAGCAUAUAGAUAUUAGGGUGACGUUUUUAAUUUGAGAAUGUUAUCAAAUGCAAAUUGCCCUUUCUUAAACCAGUUAUUAUACUGAAUAACCAGUUUUAUUACCAGUUAUUAUACACGUCUAGGUAUGGAAUGCUUAUGGCAUGAGUUUUGUUAUCCAUAUCCAGCAUAUAUCUAUGAUUGCAUAUUAUCUACAUUACCGUUUGCGCUUUUACAAGGUAUUGUAUAUUUGGGAUUUCUUUUUAUUUUGCAAGGUUUGGGAAAUUGUUUUAAUUUCUAUAUUUUCACAUUUCAGUAGAGGUGCUAUAGAGAUGGUUGUGUGGGGGUAAAAUGUGUUUUACAAUAAAAGGUGCCAAUGGUGCAGGACCUUCCUAGUUGUCUCCUCACAAAAGUUAUUUUUCUUUUUUUGUCUGAUAUGAGAAGUGAUUCCAGCCACCAGCAGUUAAUCAGCUUCAAAAGCAAAUAACGCAAAAUAUACGAACUCCUGGAUAUUAUAGCCCGUAUUCUAUCACAACAAACAGAGCACAGCAAACUGAAAUGCAUCUUGCUGACAGCUGGACACCGUAAACCAUUCUUUUUAUAGUGUAGCGUGCGUUAUGAUACAGGGGAACAGAGAGUGAUUGUACAUGUUGAGUUAUGACGUCACCAAGAUCAAGGAGUGCAAGUCGCGCCUCUGUCUGCGGCUUUUUAAGAACACGGGCUAGCCUAGAGGAGCUGAUCAGGGUGGUGGCGCUGACAGAGACUGGCCGUUAAUUUCAGCUCAUCUUAAUUCAGAAGAGCGGCAGCUUACGGCUGUACAAGGACAGGACCCAGGAUCUAGCAAUGGGAAUGAUGAACCUUGAUGAAUUUUACACGCUCUCAUUGUGACUUAUCAAAUGUCUUGAGGGAAGGAUUUUCUGAGGAUUUCCUUUAAGUACAAAGGAAGAGGACUGCAAUUAUCUUUCAAUGCAAUAAACGAUGAAUUGCACCUAAGAUGGAUAGUGCAAAAAAAGGCAAUGCGUACUUGAUAAAAUUCCCCACGUGGAAAAUGGCAAAACUAAAUUAAUAACAUUUUGCUGUGAGGGGACAUGGUGUCGCAGCCGUCUCGUGUUAUACAUGAUACGGUAAGCUCGGGAGAAAGUGUUGAUCCGCACGCCGAAUCGCUGCCCGUGAGGCGCAAGGAAGAACGAACGAAGGGGCUGCUACGGUGACAGAGGCGAGCAGCUGAACCUGAAGUGACCGUGAGAAAUUCAAUCACUUCCAAUGAUGCGGCGUAGGUCUGUGACUGCAGGGUUAUAACCGUAACAAUAGUUUACUGUCUUAAUAUAUAUUUGUUCCUUUGAAGACAUGAAACCCCUUUCCGCACACUGAAAUGGACAGGACCGUUUCUAUUCACGGAUUGUAUUUAUUUUAACCAGUUAUUCGCACCAGCCGAGGGGAUUUUCACGAGCCGUAUUAAGUUAUUGCUAAUACUCUGGUGCACGGGAACAUCAUGGAUUUCUCGUUAUUCCCCUGGCUUCGCUCCACGCGCGUCUGAGUCGCUCGCCACGAUGCAGAUCCUUCGAGUCGCGUGGGCUUUAGCCGGAGCUGCAAUCUGCUGUUUGUUCGUUAUGUGGGUCCACUCGCGCUUUCUGGAAGAAGGUCAGCUGGCAGCGGGGACGUGUGAGAUCGUCACGCUGGACCGGGACAGCAGCCAGCCGCGGCGGACCAUCGCGCGGCAGACAGCGCGCUGCGCGUGUAAGAGGGGCCAGAUCGCCGGGACGACGAGGGCCAGGCCGGCCUGUGUGGACGCGCGCAUCGUGAGGUCCAGGCAGUGGUGUGACAUGAUGCCCUGUCUGGAGGACGAAGGCUGCGACCUGUUGGCGAACGGAUCGGGCUGGACCUGCACGCAGCCCGGAGGCAGAGUCAAAACCACAACGGCACUAUGAUGUGAUGGAGCCCCCCUUUCGUACAAACGCCCCGGAUGAGCUGCGUGCAGCCUGACAGGACAGGACAGGACAGGACAGCCCCAAAACCCCGCCACCCCUCGCCAAGAACAGACAGUGACCAACUCCCGCUAACUGCAAGCCGCCGCGGGCCCUGACCGCACCGUAAGGUCUCCUGAGAACAAAGAACAGAGUCUCCCACAUCACCGGAGCAGCGUGGACUCUUUAGAGCUAGCUGCCCCCGGAAGUCAAGUCUACACGGCUCUGGGUCAUCUGUUGCUCGUCAUCAGCUCAGCUCAUCCAUCCACGGACAGCGCCCCCUUGUGCCUGGGCUGACCUCGCAAGUCUCUCUGACCCCCUUUUUUUGCCCAAAGAGCGGAAGCUGGGAUUAAAAACGGACUUCGCGGAGGGAAUUGUUUUUAAUUGGCUGAAGGGGAGGACGACAUCACAGGAAGCUGGUGCAUGACACGCCCGCAGACUGGACUCCAUGAUCAGGGAGAGUACCCGCGUCGGCUGUCUGGCGAAUUCAAAAGAGCUGUCUGUCCAAGGUUUAUUUUUGGCACCCUGAAUUAAUUUUUUUGUCUGUCUGUAUUUUCUUUCUUCUGUUGUUUUUUUUUUUUUUUUUACAGACCAAAGAAAAACAGCAUUUAAGUCGGGCCAGAUGGAACAGGUCGGAAACAAAGGGAUUCUGAGAAAUUAAUGAAUUCAGCUCUGAACAGGCAGCAAAACAAAGAGACGCAAACACACACACACAUGCUUGCACACACACACACACACACACACACACACGCGCUACACAAACGAGCAACCACACAACCUCUGUGGCUUUGAACAAAACGUCCUGUAAAAUGGCAGCACGGAGAGCAGCCGUCAGGAAGGACAUGUAAAGGAGUCCAUUCACCCACCGCUGCUGCUGAGGCUUUUCUCCCGGACCCUGCUCACACGAUCGCGUCAACCUGCCACUUACACACCUGUGAAAAUGAAUUUGCAUUUAUUCCUGGACACAAUCAGACAAUCUGCAACAGGCACGGCUGCACACGGGAAAAGGGUGUAAACCACUUUGCCGGAACACUGAUAAAAUUGUGAAUCGGAAAAGAAAUUUGUGGGGAUAAAAUAUCAUUUAAUGUAUUUUGAAAUGUUUGAAAGUUAUAUAUAUAUAUAUAUUUAACAGUUUUAUAUGUUGUAUCUUUGUAGAAAACCUUAUUUAACACCGACAAUGUGGUCACAAUGGCAGUCAUAAAGACUGGAUUCGAGAAGAACGCUCAUCAUCUCAAUGCCUUCCCUUGCUAUUUCCUUUGCCUGCAAGUGGCUCUUCUAUUACUUUUUUUUUUAAGCCAUCAAAUUAUUUUCAAUUUCUCAACAUGACCAAUGGUGACUCAAUUAAAAAAAAAAAAAAAAAAAAAA
Anguilla rostrata (American eel) is the source of this 4670-nucleotide RNA transcript. It is a transcript of the gene named chemokine-like protein TAFA-5, with no coding region annotated. Lineage: Eukaryota; Metazoa; Chordata; Actinopteri; Anguilliformes; Anguillidae. The record is from RefSeq and is a predicted model, not a curated record. The transcript is spliced from 5 exons.